This 442-nucleotide ribosomal RNA is filed under the name uncultured bacterium. Its description in RNAcentral is "partial 16S ribosomal RNA". It matches the Rfam family "Bacterial small subunit ribosomal RNA", at positions 338 to 795 of the family's 1533-position model. The record is from RNAcentral.
CCUACGGGUGGCUGCAGUGGGGAAUAUUGGGCAAUGGGCGGAAGCCUGAACCAGCAACGCCGCGUGAAGGAAGAAGGCUUUCGGGUUGUAAACUUCUUUUGGCAGGGAAGAGUAGAAGACGGUUACUGUAGCAAAAGACACGGCUUACUACGGGCCAGCAGCCGCGGGAAUACGUAGGUUGGCAGCGUUGUCCGGGAUUAAUGGGUGUAAAGGGCGUGUAGGCGGGUUGAGAAGUUAGGAGGGAAAUCCUGGGGCGUAACCGCCGAACUGCUUUUGAAACUGUUGAUCUUGAGUACAGGAGAGGCAGGUGGAAUUCCUAGUGUAGCGGUGAAAUGCGUAGAUAUUAGGAGGAACACCAGUGGCGAAGGCGGUCUACUGGACUGUAACUGACGGUGAGGCGCGAAAGCGUGGGGAGCAAACAGGAUUAGAUACCCGUGUAGUC